AGAAAUCAGUGCUGCAUGUCUGAAGGUACAGCAAAUGCAAUGGCCAUGGGCAGGGGCAGGUUUUGUGUAGGAGCUGCUUUCGUCAUAGCAAUUUGGAUGACCGAAGUCUCUUGCGCCCCAUUUGGAGGGACCAACGGGAGAUCCAAAGAUGAGAACGGCCUGGGAAAUGUUCCACAAAAUGACCUAGCUGAAGUCAUUAAAAUGCAACAACUAAUUGAGGCCCUGUAUCAAGACCACUAUAUUAUAGAAGAAUACCUCAAGUCUGCCGCAAAAGCUAGGGCCUAUGACCACGUGAGCACAGUCCCCCUGGCCUCUAACGUGACUCAAGCCUCUGACCCCCUGGCCUCUAACGUGUCUCAAGCCUCUGACCCUUUUGCC
This is a long non-coding RNA of Gadus morhua (Atlantic cod), 378 nucleotides long. RefSeq lists it as uncharacterized. The record is from RefSeq and is a predicted model, not a curated record. The transcript has 4 exons. NCBI's taxonomy places the organism in Eukaryota, Metazoa, Chordata, Actinopteri, Gadiformes, Gadidae.